Molecule: ribosomal RNA, 409 nt
Filed under: uncultured bacterium
Lineage: Bacteria
Description: bacterial SSU rRNA
Rfam family: Bacterial small subunit ribosomal RNA
Source: RNAcentral
UGGGGAAUAUUGCACAAUGGGCGCAAGCCUGAUGCAGCAACGCCGCGUGAGGGAUGAAGGCCUUCGGGUUGUAAACCUCUUUUAGCAGGGAAGAAGCGAAAGUGACGGUACCUGCAGAAAAAGCACCGGCUAACUACGUGCCAGCAGCCGCGGUAAUACGUAGGGUGCAAGCGUUGUCCGGAAUUAUUGGGCGUAAAGAGCUCGUAGGCGGUUUGUCGCGUCUGCUGUGAAAAUCCAAGGCUCAACCUUGGACCUGCAGUGGGUACGGGCAGACUAGAGUGCGGUAGGGGAGAUGGGAAUUCCUGGUGUAGCGGUGGAAUGCGCAGAUAUCAGGAGGAACACCAAUGGCGAAGGCACAUCUCUGGGCCGUAACUGACGCUGAGGAGCGAAAGCGUGGGGAGCGAACAGG